AGCGAACGCUGGCGGCAGGCUUAACACAUGCAAGUCGAGCGGGCACUUCGGUGUCAGCGGCAGACGGGUGAGUAACACGUGGGAACGUACCCUUCGGUUCGGAAUAACGCUGGGAAACUAGUGCUAAUACCGGAUACGCCCUUUUGGGGAAAGGUUUACUGCCGAAGGAUCGGCCCGCGUCUGAUUAGCUAGUUGGUGGGGUAAUGGCCUACCAAGGCGACGAUCAGUAGCUGGUCUGAGAGGAUGAUCAGCCACACUGGGACUGAGACACGGCCCAGACUCCUACGGGAGGCAGCAGUGGGGAAUAUUGGACAAUGGGCGCAAGCCUGAUCCAGCCAUGCCGCGUGAGUGAUGAAGGCCUUAGGGUUGUAAAGCUCUUUUGUCCGGGACGAUAAUGACGGUACCGGAAGAAUAAGCCCCGGCUAACUUCGUG
This 433-nucleotide ribosomal RNA is filed under the name uncultured bacterium. RNAcentral describes it as "partial 16S ribosomal RNA". It matches the Rfam family "Bacterial small subunit ribosomal RNA", at positions 29 to 507 of the family's 1533-position model. The record is from RNAcentral.